This is a long non-coding RNA of Melanaphis sacchari, 1461 nucleotides long. RefSeq lists it as uncharacterized. The record is from RefSeq and is a predicted model, not a curated record. NCBI's taxonomy places the organism in Eukaryota, Metazoa, Arthropoda, Insecta, Hemiptera, Aphididae. The transcript is spliced from 2 exons.
UUUUCUAUUUCAUUUUAUUACUUAAAUUUGUAUUAUAAAAUAUAUCACAUUUUUUUAAGUAUCUAAUUAGCUAAUGGAAAAAACAGUAUUCAACCUAACCAUAUUAUUACUACUUGUUAUUAAUUACUACGAAGUUGACUAACAUUAAAAUGUCUUCAACGAAACCUAUACCACAACCUCAUCACGUCAUCACACCUAAAACUUAAGGAAUAUGUUGGACAUUCUACAUUUUGGUUCAAAUAAUGAAACAUUAUACAGUCAGUUUUGGAAAAGAAAAAAGACGUCAGUAUGGUUAUGUUAAACUAAUCGUGGAAAAUUUCAAAUUAUAAGCUAAAAUGUACUAUGUAUGAUGUUAUAAAAAAUAUCGGCGCUGCAGUCAUUUGGAAUGGCGCGGAAUUCUUAUAUAAGCUUCCCAACUCCUACUCAGUUUUCACAGCCGAAUCAAUAGCCAUUUUAAAAGCACUCGAGAUAAUAUCCGAUCAUCACCUACAAGACACCAUUAUCUUCACCGACUCCCUUAGCGCGAUCAACAAUAUAAAAAACACAUAUAAUCCAUCAGACAUUGGCCUACAUAUUCAGAACAAAAUCUACACCUUACAAUAGGUACCACAAUAACAUCAAAAUCAAACUCUUUUGGAUCCCCGGACAUUCCAACAUAAAAGAAAACGAACUCGCUGAUCUCGCAGCCAAAAAUGCUAUCACAUCGCCUCUAUAAUCGUCCACACAAAUCAUUUCUUCCAGUGACAUACGAAUACUUAUAACAAAAGAUUGUCGACAAAGAUGGCAUCAAAAGUGGACAUCUUAUUACACAAAAUUAAACCACAUAAAACACAACACCGACAAUUGGAAAUUUCCCUUCAAAAUUCAUAGAAAAUUCGAAGUAAUAACUACCAGACUGAGAAUCGGACACACAAAAAUCUCUCACAGUUUUCUAAUGUCCAAGGAAGAACCGCCAAUAUGCACAACCUACGGUGUUCAAGUAACCAUCAAACACAUCCUCACCGAUUGUCGAACAUAUCUCAAUACCCGAACAAGCUACAACCUGCCCGAAUCAUCACUAUAUAUCAGAAAUAUUAAACAACCAUCCUCAAUCCAUUACAAACAUCAUUCAAUUCAUCACAGCCGCCAAUCUUCUAAACAAAAUCUAGUAUAAUUUAGAUAUAGAUACAAUACAUGUAACUUUCUUAAUGUAAAUUUCUCACUGUAAACCCAAUGGCCCAUGUUGCCGAGGAUAUCAUUAAUAAAAAAAUAAAAUAUUCAUUCUGAAAAAUAAAACUCAACGUUUUUAGCAAUUAAUGAGAAAAUUAUAAGCGGGAUAAUUGCUAUUGGAACUGAUCAUUCACUAUAAGCUGAAUUUAUCAGUCACAAUUGACAUACUCUACCUAUAUCUUAGCAAUGGAUAAUGGAUUACCUAAACGAUGUUAUAAGACCAAAUAUAAUACUUUGUUAGUAGCGAUAAAA